Takifugu rubripes (torafugu) is the source of this 4519-nucleotide long non-coding RNA. NCBI's taxonomy places the organism in Eukaryota, Metazoa, Chordata, Actinopteri, Tetraodontiformes, Tetraodontidae. The record is from Ensembl.
CGAUAAACAAGUUGUAAAAAAAGACCCGAGUCAGCAAUGUCACAACGACGGAGCCCGUUUGUGCGUCCGCUUCCUGUCAAUGUGACCCGACCCGUUCUGAUGAAGCUUACCAAGCAAGUGCCAGCGUUUGAUAGUGCACGUACAGCCACGUACAAGCAGAGCCGGAUCACCUGCAGCGCGUCGGUUCGGUUGGACACAAAUGGACGUGAGCGGUGGGCCGCCAACAACGACAAAGACACCAAAGACAACAAAGACAGCAAAGACAACAAAGACAACAAAGACACCAAAGACACCAAAGACACCAAAGACAACAAAGACACCAAUGACACCAAAGACACCAAAGACAACAAAGACAACAAAGACACCAAAGACACCAAAGACAACAAAGACACCAAAGACAACAAAGACAACAAAGACACCAAAGACAACAAAGACAACAAAGACACCAAAGACAACAAAGACAACAAAGACACCAAAGACACCAAAGACACCAAAGACAACAAAGACACCAAUGACACCAAAGACACCAAAGACACCAAAGACAACAAAGACAACAAAGACACCAAAGACACCAAAGACAAGAGGGCGUCUGGCGGAUGCUACAAGCCUUUACCUUCGGCAGCAUCUCCGGUGCCUUGAGCACUUCCUGUCCGGUUCUUCCCGCCCAGGAACUGGAGAAAAAUCAAGCAGGGCUGAAAGUGUCCGACUUCUAGAGUGUCUCCAUGAGGAAGUGAAGGUUGAUUCGAGCUGGUGUUCGGCGGCCUGCAGACGUGUCACCGUGUCUCCGAGGCUCUCGAGUAACAUCGGGACUCUGAUCCCACCUGUAAAACCGGCGCCACUAAGGCACCAGCCUGGUGGGAGCUUUGUGUUCCAAACCCCAUCAAACAACAUCCGUGUGGGAAUCUUGGAAAAUGUCAGUCAUCACAACCAAGCCAAGGUCUGAGCCCUGGUUGCCAUGGUUACCGUUCACGUAUCAGCCUCUGCCUUUUAUGAAAUACAGAUUAAACUGAAGCAAAAGUCAGCAGCGACCUGAAGGAUCUGUAGUGGGAUCCAGAUCCAGAGACCCCCUGAGAAGGUUGGCGUGAGGCUCCACCACCUGGAGCCGCCUGGCACCGGAACGCCGAAGUGAUAAUUAAUUCGGAUUACCAAAGCUGAGAGCGGCACUUUGGCAAGAGGCGGCUGAGGCGGUGGGGGUGCCGAGUUGAGAAGGGAUAAUUGAGACGUAAUGAGGAAGACGGAGAUGGAAGCGGUGGGUGGACCGCUGAACGGAGACUAAUGGGAUUGUUGUGUGAGCGGCGGGAGGCGGGUGGGAGGCGGGUGGGAGGCGGGCUCGCCUUGGCAGCGGCGUCGGAGCGUCCAACAACCGCCACUCUGCGGCCUCACGCCUCAUAAAUAUUGAGAGCGGUACUGGACCAGGCCAUAUGGUCGGGGAGUAGCGCUCGCCCGCUGAUGGUGGGGGCCGAGAAAAGUUAGGAAAACGUCUCCCCUCGCCACCACGUCCAGUUACUGAGACUCAUGUGGAGUUCCGACUGGAGGGAGGAAAGGCCUCAGAACCCAGAACCUGAGCCGGUACAAAGCGGCGCCAUUAAGAGGCUCUGAGCAAACAUCAUGGAGCGGCAGAGCAAGUGGACCCCCGGCAGAACGGCACCGGCAGGUUCUCAACACCUUAAUUAUUGGUUCUGAAGGGAAAUGAGACUUUUCUAGUUGUUUAGCUUGAGCUAACCAACCCCCCCGUCCCCCGGAAAACAAUGGGGAUUAAACCGUUAGGUACGUACGAUAUUUUGUGCGUGAUAUUUCUCAGGGUAAUCUUUUAUCCGGCCGCCUUUACAGUUUUAUUUCUGUGUUGAGGUUAGACAGACCCACAGAUCCAACGCAUUACCGCCUUGGCCUUGGCCACCUUUUCCAGCCCGAGAUGGAAUCUGCAGUCAUGCUGAAUGAUGCUCUGCGACCUCCUGCGCGUAGCUUUGGGACGUCACGUCUCUGGAAUACUGCGUUUACUAGCAUGAGACAGCUGCUAGCAAAUUAGCUUUUGAAGAGGAUUUCUGAUUGAGUUGAGAAUGCUGAGUAGUGUUGUUAGGGUUAGGGUUAGGGUUAGGGUUAGGGUUAGGGUUAGGGUUACACACAAGAUGUGUGUGUUGGGUCCCUGCAGCCCCACAGGAGGACAGCAGCCUGGAACAGGACGUUCCACUUUAACCCUGGACAGAAGAAAAGGGGACAGAGACGCAGAGAUGGGACGAAUCCAGCGCCGAUAAGGACAGAGGAAAAGAGAGUAAACUAAAGACAGGAAGUCUCAGCCUGGGUGUUCUAGAGACCCUCGCAGUAUUAUUAGUCAGUAAAUAUUGUGAGUCCUGGUUCAAAUCCCCGAGGGACCAUUACGAGUUCUCCCUGGGUAUUCCAGUUCCCUCCAACUGUCCACAGACCUGCUUUUGGGGGACAGGUGUGUACCCCACCUGUUGUCCCAGGACAGCUGGGAUGUGCAGACACAGGAACAACCCGACUGGAGGAGGCCCUGGUCCCUAGGGGAUUUGAAUCGGAAGCCUCGCUGUGAGACGACAGUGCUAACUACUGCACUCAGGAAUAUAGCAAAAACUAGAGCUCUAGCCCUCCGUGUUAGCUUGGCCUAUUAAAGCCCCCCCAUAAAGGGGCCCCGGUGAAAGACCCCCCAGAUGGUUUUCUAUGGCAGAAAGUCGGAACCUUCUCCUGCCUCCAGCACUUCCAGCAGACCUAGUUUUAUCCAGUCUGGGGCUACAUAUACCUGGCGUGUCCCAGGUGUCCUUCCAUCAAAGAGUGACUCCCGAGUUUGGAAACAACGGCGCUUUUGUUCCUGUGUCCUAAAGUCCGGCCUGAAAUGCAGCCGUUUCAUCUGGGGACGCAGCAAUCGGCCCCCGUCUCUUUCCAGGUGUCACAAAUGAUCCCGUGUGGCUGAUGCUGACCUUGAGAGUGGAGGCGUGGAGCGGCAGGGGGGCCGGACAGGUGUGGAAACCUCGGCCGUGAACAGACGGAGCCCAUCCUCCACGGGCGCUGACCCCAUGGCCCCGGCUGUCUCCAGCACCUCCGCGAGCCUUUAAACGAGCAUGCACAUGGCGGCGGUGCGUCUGCAGCACAGUCGGCCGCUGUGGGACAAUAGGAGGCCGGGAAUGGAUCAGCUUGUUGUGUUCUGCCUCCGUCACCGUUUCUGAAAGACACCGGCGCCUCUGCAGCAUCAACCCGCUACAAUUAUAGCUGCUAUUUCCAGCUGAAGAGGGAAAGUUUGUAUCUGCAACUGGCUGCUUAGGGAAAAGUAUGAUUGUACACUUAUGGUUGUAUUAUUAUUGUUAUUAUCAUUUUAAUAAAAAGAGCAUAUAAAGAACAGCUGAACGGCAAAAGUCAAGGCCCCACACAUAUUGAGCGGUGUUCUGUUAGCGGCUGCUAGCAGGCGGUGGCUGGGUCCCUGCACGUGUUACUGCCCCUGUGGGGGCAAUAAUCUCUGAAGCUGAGCUCAGAUUAGAAAAAAUAAUUAAAAAAAACUACCCUCUAUACACCAACAUGGGCGUCCGAAGCUUUUUACUCCAAACGAUCUCAAAGACUUUUAAUUAGGAAUUGUAACGUAAAUAUAAUGCGACAUAAGCAAACCUUCAGUUUUGUCUCUGUAAAUAUGCUUAAAUUUUACUUUUCUUAAUCUCACCUGCUGAAAGUGAACAUUUCCGUCCCAGAACAUCACUGAAAUCCCCCAUUUGGAGCUGAAAUCCCGAGUUCUCUGACAGGGAGCCCUCAGCCGCAGGUGUGUCACACUAAAUAGCAGAUGGCAACAGGCGGCGUCAGCUAACGCUGGUGUGUGUGGCCGUUCAGGAACCGUGACUAAAUAACACACACCUGGUGCCGCUGGUCGUUUACGGAGAUGACGUUGACUCAUGGAAGUGUUGUGACUCUUCAGCCAUAUCAGCGCCGCUGCCGUUAGCCGCCAGCUGAACAACAGCUAUUAGCGGCACUUAAAGGAACGUCAGCGGCUCUAAGAAUGAGUAAUGGGCCGGGGGGGUGCAGGUGUGCGCUCGAUUCGCACACCUUCUCUCCUAGUUCUGCUGCAGGUUCUGUCUCCUGGAGCAGGAGGGUCAGAUGGUCGGUGGGAAGCCGCAUUAGCAAAUCACUUUACUAGCGUAGCAUCAGGCAGUCGGGGAAGCAGCGUAAUCAGGUUUGAAAUGUCCCCAGAAAAAAGAAUCAUAGUGGGUGAAUCAAGGACAUUAAAGCGGGCCAAGUGGACCUGGACCUGGACCUGAACAUCUGUGGACUCACUGAAGGGGCAGGGGCAAUAAAACCGGUCCGGGGAAAAACAUCUAACAGGAUGUUUGAAAUUAAAUAAACGCCUCCCCCAGGUGGCAAUAAAACCACGUUCGUGUUGUUGUUGACACCAGAAACCGACGUUUCAGAUGCAGCUUCCAGACAACAUGAUGUCAUCGGCUGGUAGCCAGAGUUCUGCUGCCUGUCUGAGCCCCAGCAGCUCAUUUAAACUGGACCAAGACCAGGAACCAACCUUCCACCUUCU